This is a long non-coding RNA of Alosa alosa (allis shad), 316 nucleotides long. RefSeq lists it as uncharacterized. The record is from RefSeq and is a predicted model, not a curated record. The transcript is spliced from 3 exons. NCBI's taxonomy places the organism in Eukaryota, Metazoa, Chordata, Actinopteri, Clupeiformes, Clupeidae.
CAGACUAUCUAUGAAGAGCUACAAUGUGGCAGACGGAAGUCGUCGAGGAUGUUUCUGUGGAAACAUCCGGCCGCAUCUUUGGAACUUCGUCAGCGUUUGCGUCAUGCAAAUAGCCAUUUCAGCAUAGAAAAUUCCAGGAAACUGGCGAAAAUGAUACAGACUGCCAUAAUCUGUGAUGAAGAUAUCAUAGAUGUUGACCUUGUGCUCGACGUAAUGAUGCCUGAGGUUUCCAUCAACAUUGUCACGAACCACGAGGGUUUCUGCAGGUUUCUGGCUGAGAGGUUCAUGUCCAUGCAUCCGGCAUUGGAGUAACAAG